Long non-coding RNA from Brassica napus (rape), 1778 nucleotides. RefSeq lists it as uncharacterized. The transcript has 2 exons. NCBI's taxonomy places the organism in Eukaryota, Viridiplantae, Streptophyta, Magnoliopsida, Brassicales, Brassicaceae. The record is from RefSeq and is a predicted model, not a curated record.
AGCGGAAGAAGCCAGCAGCUAUGCUCUGACUAUUACGACCAAGACGGAGAGACUCGAAGGUUGAGUGACUGACGAUGGGGAUGCCAGUUUGAGGAAUAGAAGAGGCAGAUAGAGACAUUUUUUAGAAGAUGGUUAAAGCUAAGAGGAAUCAUAAAUUUUUGUGGAGAUGAAGAUUGGGUUCAUCAAAGAUGAGAAUCAUAUAUAUAUGGUUUUACCGAGAAGCUACAAAUCAUGAACAUUUAUGCUCAAGCGAUUUAAGAUGGGGAGAUAAAAAUUUCACCGGUGAAGAAAUAGAUUACAAACAGACAUACAUCGCAACUCUGUAACUCAGACAUGUCUGAGACAAUGAUGAAAAGAACACUAACUCAUGUUCAAUGACGACGGUUUACAGUAUGGGAAACUAUAAUUGUUGCAAACUUGAGCUUUUUCUUCAUAUACCGUCAUGGAUUCCAUUUUAAAAUGAAACCCAUAGUAUAUUUGCAGGUCCGACCCUCAGAGAAAGGCGAAGAAAAGCAAGGGCUUCCGACCUUCAUAAAUAUAUAUUAGUUUCGACCAUCAGUGAACGAAUUAUCAUGUAGUUUAGUAGUAUAAAUAUUGAUGUUUGUAUUUCAAUAACCCGUGUUUAAACCAUGAAUUUUAUAUUUUUUACAGUUUUUUAAAGUGGGAUCCACCUGAUGUUGACGUGUCGCUUUUAGAAAAUAGUAAAUCAUAUGAUAUUUACCAACCAAAUAUUUGAUUGAUACUUUAACAUCACUAUACAUUUAUAAACGGGCCACAAAGAUUUUUUGCUUAAUGCUUACAAAACAAAAAUAUAGAGAUUAUAUUAAACAAAAUUAAAUUGAAAACUAUCGCUUUAAUCUCGUAUGCUUUCCGAAUCUGACAUCAUUGGUCUUGGCUUUGUUGAACGGACUAUGUUAUGCCCAAGAGAGUGAUCACUCUUUACUUCAGGAAGAAAAAAAGAGUGAUCGGGAAGAGAAACGAGGAAGAAGAACAGAGCAAAAAUGCAGGAGAAGUCAGCAUAGAGAGAGAGUGGUUGUCUAAUCAUAAGUAAUAAGAUAAUAUUUGUUUGUAUAAUUAUGUUGGUUAUUUAAAUGAGUUUAUAACACAAAAAGACACUUUAUGUGUUUUUAUUACACAAAAGAGCAGAUUGUGCUACUCAGACACUUUAUGUUGGUUGAAGACUUUUUUGUCCUCUCAAAAACAAAACUAGAGAUGGGCACUUAAGUAAAAGACCAUAUUGUUCUGGUUAGUUUGGUUAGUGGGUUUGAAUUUUGAAAAUACCAGGCUCUGAUUGGUGGACGCUUGAAGAAGUGUGAUUUGUUUAAUAAAAUGACUUUGUGCCCGUAAAAAAAGUAAUAUUUACUCCCUUUUCUGUUUCUCACUCCUAAACCUAAUUUUUCCAUUUUUUCAUUCUUCCAGAGCGAGAACAGAAGCGAGAACACGACGGAGAUAGUGACUGCCGACGGAAGUUAAAGCGGUGGAUCUAGGAUAAAUUGACAAUGACGACGAGGAGGAAGCGAGCAGGGAAAGCGAAAGCCGACGCUUGGUGGAUCCAAGAGAGAUUCUGAGCAUAUAGCAUAUUUGAAGUCGUCCAAGUAUUUGGAUCUCGUGGAGCAUGUUGUGUGUGGAGACUAUAGAAUGGAGCAUGGUGGCUGUGGAGACUAAAUCCAUGUGUACACUAUUGUAAUGAUAUCUAUGUGUACACCAUUGAAAUAAUAUCCAUGUGUACACCGAUGUAAUGAUAUUUACAUGUACAUAAAAAUGUAAACCUUCCAACA